RNAcentral lists this ribosomal RNA (308 nucleotides) under uncultured bacterium. Its description in RNAcentral is "bacterial SSU rRNA". It matches the Rfam family "Bacterial small subunit ribosomal RNA", at positions 46 to 353 of the family's 1533-position model. The record is from RNAcentral.
GCUUAACACAUGCAAGUCGAGCGGGCGAGGUUGCUUCGGUAACUGAGCUAGCGGCGGACGGGUGAGUAAUGCUUAGGAAUCUGCCUAUUAGUGGGGGACAACAUUCCGAAAGGGAUAGCUAAUACCGCAUACGUCCUACGGGAGAAAGCAGGGGAUCACUUGUGACCUUGCGCUAAUAGAUCGAGCCUAAGUCGGAUUAGCUAGUUGGUGGGGUAAAGGCCUACCAAGGCGACGAUCUGUAGCGGGUCUGAGAGGAUGAUCCGCACACUGGGACUGAGACACGGACCAGACUCCUACGGGAGGCAGCA